UACGUAGGGUGCAAGCGUUAAUCGGAAUUACUGGGCGUAAAGCGUGCGCAGGCGGUUUUGUAAGUCUGAUGUGAAAUCCCCGGGCUCAACCUGGGAAUUGCAUUGGAGACUGCAAGGCUAGAAUCUGGCAGAGGGGGGUAGAAUUCCACGUGUAGCAGUGAAAUGCGUAGAGAUGUGGAGGAACACCGAUGGCGAAGGCAGCCCCCUGGGUCAAGAUUGACGCUCAUGUACGAAAGCGUGGGGAGCAAACAGG
Molecule: ribosomal RNA, 253 nt
Filed under: uncultured bacterium
Lineage: Bacteria
Description: partial 16S ribosomal RNA
Rfam family: Bacterial small subunit ribosomal RNA
Source: RNAcentral